UUACAUCUUCCCCUCGCAAUCACGAGAUCCGAAUUCACUCUGCCGAUCCACUCGCAAAGCAUGGCGAAUUAGACAUUAAUCUUUUUUCUCUUCUGGUUAAAUAGGCAUUAAUCAAAUAAGAAAUGUGCGUAAUGUUCACCCUCCUAUCUACACUACUAGACGUCCGAAAUCGGAAAUAAUGUGGCCGGUUUAAACCCGACACAUUUCGCCAGAAGAAGAAAGGAAGCUCGCGUUCUUGUAUUUGGUAGACCCAAGCUACCAUCCCUCUCUUUCUCUCCAUCUGUGCCUUUUGCAGGUUUGUGAGUCUUUCAUUUUCGGGAGCAGACUCUCUCUCUCUCUCGGUCGCGGAGAGCCUUCUACUGCUGUUGUUCAUGGAGCAUCAGAGGCGCCUAGAUCAGAGCCUCCCGGAGAGGAAGGGUCAAAAGCGGAAACUGGAGGAAGAAGUCGAAGAAGGGCGAGAGAUCUCCGUACCCUCGGGGGAGGCAAGGCGAGCGCUACUCUCUGAGGUGGCUGCACAGCUUACUAUCCUGAACUCCACCUUCUCUUGGAAGGAAGCUGAUCGUGCUGCGGCCAAGCGUGCCACUCACAUCCUUGCCGAGCUCGCGAAGAAUGAGGAAGUUGUGAACGUGAUUGUUGAAGGCGGUGCGGUUCCGGCUUUGGUGACGCAUCUUCAAGCGCCGCCUUCAGGCGAAGGUGACCGGAAUCCAAAGCCAUAUGAGCACGAGGUCGAGAAGGGGAGCGCUUUUGCACUAGGCCUUCUUGCUGUGAAGCCUGAGCAUCAACAAUUCAUAGUUGAUUGCGGUGCUUUGCCAAAUCUCGUGGAUCUGUUAAAGAGGCACAAGAACAGUUCUAGCUCUCGUGCUAUGACUAGUGUCAUUCGUAGAUCUGCCGAUGCCAUCACCAACCUUGCUCAUGAGAAUAGCAGCAUUAAAACCCGUGUCAGGAUGGAAGGCGGAAUUCCACCUCUUGUUGAAUUGCUUGAGUUCACAGAUACAAAGGUGCAAAGAGCUGCUGCUGGGGCUCUGCGAACCCUGGCAUUUAAAAAUGAUGAAAACAAGAAUCAGAUAGUUGAAUGUAAUGCACUUCCUACCCUCAUUCUAAUGCUUCGAUCUGAAGAUACUGCUAUCCAUUAUGAAGCGGUUGGUGUGAUCGGAAAUCUGGUGCACUCAUCCCCAGACAUAAAGAAGGAAGUUCUUUUAGCUGGAGCGCUGCAACCUGUUAUUGGAUUACUUAGUUCCUGCUGCUCUGAGAGUCAAAGGGAGGCAGCUUUAUUACUUGGACAAUUUGCUGCAACUGAUUCUGAUUGCAAGGUUCAUAUUGUACAGAGGGGUGCUGUCCGACCUUUGAUUGAGAUGCUCCAAUCUUCCGAUGUACAGCUUAGGGAAAUGUCAGCUUUUGCAUUGGGGAGGUUGGCACAGGACAUGCACAAUCAAGCUGGUAUUGCUCACAGUGGUGGUUUGGUGCCUUUACUGAAGCUUCUUGAUUCCAAAAAUGGGUCUUUGCAACAUAAUGCUGCAUUUGCUCUUUAUGGGCUUGCGGAUAACGAGGAUAAUGUAUCGGAUUUUAUUAGAGUGGGAGGUGUUCAGAAACUGCAGGAUGGAGAGUUUAUAGUUCAAGCAACAAAAGAUUGUGUAGCCAAGACGUUGAAAAGAUUAGAGGAGAAGAUUCAUGGACGAGUUUUGAAUUAUCUGUUAUAUCUUUUGCGUGGAGCAGAGAAGGCUGUCCAAAGACGAGUCUCUUUGGCUCUUGCUCAUCUUUGUUCUCCAGAUGCUUUGAGAACCAUAUUUAUUGAUAACAAUGGGUUGGAGUUGCUUCUUGGGCUCCUCGGUUCCUCUAGCCUUAAGCAGCAACUUGAUGGUGCUGUGGCUCUAUAUAAAUUGGCCAACAAAGCCAUGGCUCUUUCUCCUGUUGAUGCAGCUCCCCCGUCUCCAACACCGCAGGUCUAUUUAGGGGAGCAGUUUGUAGACAAUCCUACACUGUCUGACGUUACGUUUCUUGUUGAAGGUAGAAGGUUCUAUGCUCACAGAAUCUGCCUGCUUGCUUCUUCAGAUGCUUUCCGUGCAAUGUUUGAUGGUGGUUACCGGGAAAAGGAUGCAAGGGACAUAGAGAUUCCAAAUAUUAGAUGGGAGGUUUUCCAGUUGAUGAUAAGAUUCAUAUACACUGGAUCUGUAGAAGUUACAUUGGAUGUUGCACAAGAUCUUCUCAGAGCUGCUGAUCAGUAUCUCUUGGAGGGACUUAAGCGACUUUGCGAGUAUACUAUAGCACGGGAUAUAUCAUUGGAUAAUAUAUCGAGCAUGUAUGAACUUUCAGAAGCCUUCCAUGCAAUGUCAUUGAGGCACACAUGCAUCCUGUUUAUCUUGGAGCAAUAUGAUAAAUUGAGUGCUAGGCCAGGGCACUCUCAUCUGAUCCAGCGUAUUAUACCAGAGAUUCGUAAUUAUGCCAAAACACUUACUAAGCCUAAUGCACAUAGGUUGCGGCCGUAAAUUGCUUUCUAUUCUUGAUCCCUAACCAAAAACGAUGUACAGAAAUGGUAGUUCGUGUUGUUGGGCCUGUAGACGUUUCUAGCUUGUUGAUUGUAGUGAGGCUCAUGACUUUCGGAGGCCAGACUCCUGUUGCAUGCACGCACUGUAAGUUUCUUCUGCAACGCCAUUGUCUUAGAUAUUGCUGAGACUAUUACUUUCAUGAACAUUAUUUUUCUUUCUUCACUGUGAGGGUUGCAUGACUUAACGUAGCUGCUUCUUUUGUGCAAUAAUGUAGCUAGACUGCUAACUGCUCGAGUCCUCUUUGAAGCGUAUGAUUAUGAUUGAUAACUACAAGCUCCUGUUCGAUGAACUCUCUUGCGCUGAUUGAUAACUGCAAGCUCCUUGUUUCACGCAUGUCCCUUCCUCUGCCUCGAACCAGUCUUCUUCUUCACACGUCUCGACUGCACGAAGCUCUUGUUCUUCCCACGUUCCUCCCUUGAAGCUCUCCCUCCUUUCCAUGACAGCUCUUGCCUCUUCCUCUCUUCGUCUUCUCCACGAAAUCACAGGCGACUCCCUUUCUGUGCCAUGAAGCUUUUCUUGCAAGCUUUCGUUAGCUGCAUGCUCAAAUGCAAUGACUCCUUGUUCUGAAAUCAUGGAGAUUGGAUCUAAGAAAUAGAAAUUUAUUGGCCUUCAAACAAAGGAAUUAAGAACAAAUCAAAUCACUAGACACGAACGUAACUCACCUCCGUCAUCAUAUUUCAAGGUCGCAGGUAAGGCAAAGGCAAAGGCGUUGAUGUUGGGAGGUGUAGUUUUUGAGAAGAAUAAUCAUUCUUAUUAAUUUUAAAGAGAAACGAAUACAAGAUAAAUAGAAGAGGAAAACCACCAAAUCAGGAAGGUCAUAAAAUCAGCAAAUCAAAUAAGUAAAUCUCUAGGUUAGAAAACAGGAAACAUAAAUAUCUAAAAUUUGAAAUUACUAUUUCAGAUUUUAUUUAAAAUAGAACUUCUUAACUUAUCUCAUAUUCUAUAGAACUUCCUAAUUUAUCUUCUAGAAAUCCGACACCCACUCUCAAGUUGGAGCUGGAGCGUAGAUGUUUAUCAUGCCCAACUUGCUUACAAGGAGCUCAAAACUAGGUCUGAAAAGUCCAUUGGUGAAGAUAUCGGCUAUUUGUUGAGUAGUAGGAACAAAAGGCAUGCAAACAGCUCCAUUAUCAAUCUUCUCCUUUAUGAAGUGUUUGUCAAUUUCUACAUGCUUUGUGUGAUCAUGUUAUACUGGAUUUUGAGCAAUACUUAUGGCAGCUUUGUUGUCACAAUACAACUUCAUUGGCAUGUUUAUCGGCAUCCGCAGCUCUUCAAGAAUUCUCUUUAGCCAUAACAUCUCACAAACUCCCCCUAUAUUCUGCCUCGACACUGCUCCUUGCAACUACAUUAUGUUUCUUGCUUUGCCGUGUGACCAUAUUUCCCUAGACAUAAGUGUAGUAUUCUGACGUGAAUCUCCUAUCAAUAACUAAGCCUGCCUAAUCUGCAUCAAUGUAUGCCUCUAUGUUCUGCUGUGUGGUCUUCUGGAAGAGUAAACCCUUGCCUGAUAUACUUUUCAAGUAUUUGAGAAUAUGAUAAACUACUUCAAGAUGUUUCUUGUAUGGUGAGUGCAUAAACUGACUUACCAAACUCAUUACAAAAGCAAUAUCAGGCCGUGUAUGUGAUAAGUAAAUUAACUUUCCCACCAACUUUUGAUACCGAGUUGUAUUCACUGGGUCACCUUCCUUGUCAUCUCCAAGUUUCUUAUUGAGAUUGAUUGGAGUGUCUGCUGGCCUACACCCACUCAUCCCAGUCUCCUUAAGGAGGUCAAGGACAUACUUAUGUUUGGGAGAUAACAAUCCAUUUCUUCGACCGAGCAACCUCCAUUCUAAGGAAAUACCUCAGAGAUCCUAAGUCCUUGAUCUCAAAUGUUGAUGAGAGGGAAGCCUUCAAUCGGUUUAUCUCAAGUACGUCAUCUCCAGUGAGAAUUAUAUCGUCUACAUACACAAUCAGUAUUGCCAUCUUCUCAUCCUGUGAAUGUCUUGUAAACAUUGUAUGAUCACCUUGCCCUUGAGUAUACCCCUGACUUAACAAAGUGAGUGAAUUUCUCAAACCAGGCUCUUGGUGAUUGUUUUAACCCAUAUAAGGAUUUCUUCAGCUUACACACCUUUGUGCCAAACUUUUCACCAAAUCUUGGAGGUGCAUCCAUGUAUACUUCUUCCUCCAUAUAUUCAUUGAGAAAUGCAUUUUUUUACGUCCAACUAUUUCAGAGGCCAGUCACGAUUAGCUGCAAGUGACAAAAGAACUCUUACAAUGCUUAGCUUUGCGACCAGGGCGAAUGUUUCUAAGUAAUCAAUGCCAUAGGUCUGAGUGAAUCCCUUGGCAACCAAUCGAGCUUUAUACUGUUCUAAAGAGCCAUCAAAUUCAUACUUGACUGUAAAAACCCAUUUGCUCCAUACAAUUGUCUUUCUUAUUGGUAGAUCAACUAACUCCCAUGUGCCAUUUUUUUCAAGAGCUUUCAUCUCCUCGAAGACAACCUCCUUCCACUCAAGAAUUUUCAGAGCAUCUUGCACAGUAUUAGGAAUCUCCAUACAAGACAAUUGUGAGGUAAAAGCACGAAAAAUAGGUGAGAGAUUUUCAUAUGACACAUAAUUGGACAAUGGAUUGCUGGGUGCAAGAUCUCACAGCCUUCCGGAUAGCAAUAGGAAGUUCAGGAUCAUUGAACUCAGGAUUGACACCAGACUCGGGUUCAGAACUAGAGGACUCAGAACUCGAAGAUGAAAGGGUUGAACAUGAGGUAAGGGCUCGGUAAGGACAUUACCUGGAGGGUUUACGGAUUCUGGGCAGUGUGAAGGAUUGGAAGAUCCUUUCUUUCGAGUUGUCUUCUGUCGCUAGUAGACAAUGCCAAAUGGUACCAACGCUGUGUUUUUCGUUUAUGUUUCUCCUUUGUGAACAUCAUGAGAUGGCUCUGUAGGAAAACCUGCCUUUUCAGUAUCUAAGAAACUCGACUCACUUUCCCCUGGUAUAAUAAAGCUUGGGUUUUUAGGUUGAAUAAUUAAGGUUGGAGAA
Molecule: RNA transcript, 5546 nt
Organism: Juglans regia (Persian walnut)
Lineage: Eukaryota; Viridiplantae; Streptophyta; Magnoliopsida; Fagales; Juglandaceae
Gene name: ARM REPEAT PROTEIN INTERACTING WITH ABF2
Exons: 20
Source: RefSeq, a predicted model, not a curated record